RNAcentral lists this ribosomal RNA (1451 nucleotides) under metagenome. RNAcentral describes it as "bacterial LSU rRNA". It matches the Rfam family "Bacterial large subunit ribosomal RNA", at positions 1402 to 2925 of the family's 2925-position model. The record is from RNAcentral.
CCGCGAGGCGUAGGCGAUGCACAUACGGUAGAAAUUCCGUAACCACCGAACUUUAAGCAUGAGGGACACUUUGAGAUAGCGGAACCCGGGCGUUGGUUGACCCGGGCGAAAGGGACCGAAAUAUAGUAGGGAAGUCCGCGAUGCUCGGAGGCGAGAAAAGCUCAUGUGUAUACUAAGGUGCCCGUACCGCAAACCGACACAGGUAGAUGAGGAGAGAAUCCUAAGGCCAACGGGAGAAGGGUUGUUAAGGAACUCGGCAAGAUGACCCCGUAACUUCGGAAGAAGGGGAGCCUCGAAAGAGGCCGCAGUGAAUAGGCCCAAGCAACUGUUUACCAAAAACACAGGUUUAUGCUAAAUCGAAAGAUGACGUAUAUGAGCUGACGCCUGCCCGGUGCCGGAAGGUUAAGAGGAGAUGUCAACCGCAAGGUGAAGCAUUGAAUUGAAGCCCCGGUAAACGGCGGCCGUAACAAUAACGGUCCUAAGGUAGCGAAAUUCCUUGUCAGGUAAGUUCUGACCCGCACGAAAGGCGUAAUGAUUUGGGCACUGUCUCAACAGCCCGCCCGGCGAAAUUGUAGUACUGGUGAAGAUGCCAGUUACCCGCAACUAGACGGAAAGACCCCAUGGAGCUUUACUGCAGCUUAAUACUGGAAUUCGGUAAAUCAUGUACAGGAUAGGUGGGAGACAGGGAAGCAUUGGCGUCAGCCAGUGUGGAGUCGCUGGUGGGAUACCACUCUUGAUUUGCUGGGUUUCUAACCUGCGGCCGUGAAUCCGGUCGGGGGACACUGUUAGGCGGGCAGUUUGACUGGGGCGGUCGCCUCCAAAAGAGUAACGGAGGCGCUCAAAGGUUGGCUCAGCACGGACGGAAAUCGUGCAAUGAGUGUAAACGUAUAAGCCAGCCUAACUGCGAGACCGACGGGUCGAGCAGUAACGAAAGUUGGAGUUAGUGAUCCGGUGGUAUGUGAGUGGAAAUGCCAUCGCUCAACGGAUAAAAGCUACCCUGGGAUAACAGGCUGAUCUCCCCCAAGCGUCCACAGCGACGGGGAGGUUUGGCACCUCGAUGUCGACUCGUCACAUCCUGGGGCUGUAUUCGGUCCCAAGGGUUCGGCUGUUCGCCGAUUAAAGUGGCACGCGAGCUGGGUUCAGAACGUCGUGAGACAGUUCGGUCCCUAUCUGUUGCGGGCGAAAGAGAUUUGAAGGGAGCUGUCCUUAGUACGAGAGGACCGGGAUGGACGUACCUCUGGUGCACCAGUUGUCCUGCCAAGGGCAUAGCUGGGUAGCUAUGUACGGACGAGAUAAACGCUGAAAGCAUCUAAGCGUGAAACUCCCCCUAAGAUGAGAUCUCUCAUCCUUCAUGGAGUAAGGGCCCAGGAAGACUACCUGGUUGAUAGGCAAGAGGUGGAAGCGCAGUAAUGUGUGUAGCUGACUUGUACUAAUAGCCCGAGGGCUUGACU